Molecule: ribosomal RNA, 622 nt
Filed under: Porostereum spadiceum
Lineage: Eukaryota; Fungi; Basidiomycota; Agaricomycetes; Polyporales; Phanerochaetaceae
Description: eukaryotic LSU rRNA
Rfam family: Eukaryotic large subunit ribosomal RNA
Source: RNAcentral
ACGGGAGGAGGAACUAACAGGAUUCCCCUAGUAACUGCGAGUGAAGCGGGAAAAGCUCAAAUUUAAAAUCUGGCGGUCUUCGGCCGUCCGAGUUGUAAUCUGGAGAAGCGUCUUCCGCGCUGGACCGUGUACAAGUCUCUUGGAACAGAGCGUCAUAGAGGGUGAGAAUCCCGUCUUUGACACGGACUACCAGUGCUUUGUGAUGCGCUCUCGAUGAGUCGAGUUGUUUGGGAAUGCAGCUCAAAACGGGUGGUAAAUUCCAUCUAAAGCUAAAUAUUGGCGAGAGACCGAUAGCGAACAAGUACCGUGAGGGAAAGAUGAAAAGCACUUUGGAAAGAGAGUUAAACAGUACGUGAAAUUGCUGAAAGGGAAACGCUUGAAGUCAGUCGCGUUUGCUAGAACUCAGCCUUGCUUCUGUGAGGUGCAUUUUCUAGUGAACGGGCCAGCAUCAGUUUUGGCUGCCGGACAAAGGCCUUGGGAAUGUGGCACCUUCGGGUGUGUUAUAGCCCUUGGUCGUAUACGGUGGCUGGGACUGAGGAUCUCAGCACGCCUUCAUGGCGGGGGUUCGCCCACCUUCGUGCUUAGGAUGCUGGCGUAAUGGCUUUAAACGACCCGUCUGAAA